This 830-nucleotide unclassified non-coding RNA is filed under the name Pythium oligandrum. RNAcentral's name for it is "sequence contains 18S rRNA gene, ITS1, 5.8S rRNA gene, ITS2, 28S rRNA gene". The record is from RNAcentral. Lineage: Eukaryota; Oomycota; Peronosporomycetes; Pythiales; Pythiaceae.
UUCCGUAGGUGAACCUGCGGAAGGAUCAUUACCACACCUAAAAACUUUCCACGUGAACCGUUAUAACUAUGUUCUGUGCUUCGUCGCAAGACUUGAGGCUGAACGAAGGUGAGUCUGCGUCUAUUUUGGAUGCGGAUUUGCUGAUGUUAUUUUAAACACCUAUUACUUAAUACUGAACUAUACUCCGAAUACGAAAGUUUUUGGUUUUAACAAUUAACAACUUUCAGCAGUGGAUGUCUAGGCUCGCACAUCGAUGAAGAACGCUGCGAACUGCGAUACGUAAUGCGAAUUGCAGAAUUCAGUGAGUCAUCGAAAUUUUGAACGCAUAUUGCACUUUCGGGUUAUGCCUGGAAGUAUGCCUGUAUCAGUGUCCGUACAUCAAACUUGCCUUUCUUUUUUUGUGUAGUCAAAAUUAGAGAUGGCAGAAUGUGAGGUGUCUCGCGCUGUCUUUUUAAAGAUGGUUCGAGUCCCUUUAAAUGUACGUUGAUUCUUUCUUGUGUCUGCGAAUUGCGAUGCUAUGCUCUUUGUGAUCGGUUUAGAUUGCUUUGCGCUGGUGGGCGACUUCGGUUAGGACAUAUGGAAGCAACCUCAAUUGGCGGUAUGUUCGGCUUUGCCUGACGUUAAGCUAAGCGAGUGURGUUUUCUGUCUUUUCCUUGAGGUGUACCUGUCGUGUGUGAGGUUGAUUUAGGCUAUAUGGUUGCUUGGUUGUGUGGUUUAGCGUUUUCAGACGCCUGCUUCGGUAGGUAAAGGAGACAACACCAAUUUGGGACUGAGAGUUUACUCUCUUUUUCACUUUGGACCUGAUAUCAGGUAAGACUACCCGCUGAAC